GACGGAAGGUGCAAGCGUUGCUCGGAAUCACUGGGCGUAAAGGGUGCGUAGGCGGCUUGGUAGGUCUGGUGUGAAAGCCCCGGGCUCAGCCCGGGAAGGGCACUAGAAACUGCCAAGCUAGAGUGCCGGAGGGGAGAGUGGAAUUCCUGGUGUAGCGGUGAAAUGCGUAGAGAUCAGGAGGAAUACCGGUGGCGAAAGCGACUCUCUGGACGGCAACUGACGCUGAGGCACGAAGGUCAGGGGAGCAAACGGG
Molecule: ribosomal RNA, 253 nt
Filed under: uncultured bacterium
Lineage: Bacteria
Description: partial 16S ribosomal RNA
Rfam family: Bacterial small subunit ribosomal RNA
Source: RNAcentral